Molecule: ribosomal RNA, 446 nt
Filed under: uncultured bacterium
Lineage: Bacteria
Description: SSU rRNA
Rfam family: Bacterial small subunit ribosomal RNA
Source: RNAcentral
AGAGCGAACGCUGGCGGCAGGCUUAACACAUGCAAGUCGAGCGGGCGUAGCAAUACGUCAGCGGCAGACGGGUGAGUAACGCGUGGGAACGUACCUUUUGGUUCGGAACAACACAGGGAAACUUGUGCUAAUACCGGAUAAGCCCUUACGGGGAAAGAUUUAUCGCCGAAAGAUCGGCCCGCGUCUGAUUAGCUAGUUGGUGAGGUAACGGCUCACCAAGGCGACGAUCAGUAGCUGGUCUGAGAGGAUGAUCAGCCACAUUGGGACUGAGACACGGCCCAAACUCCUACGGGAGGCAGCAGUGGGGAAUAUUGGACAAUGGGCGCAAGCCUGAUCCAGCCAUGCCGCGUGAGUGAUGAAGGCCCUAGGGUUGUAAAGCUCUUUUGUGCGGGAAGAUAAUGACGGUACCGCAAGAAUAAGCCCGGCUAACUCGUGCCAGCAGCCGC